RNAcentral lists this long non-coding RNA (587 nucleotides) under Nicotiana tabacum (common tobacco). Its description in RNAcentral is "long non-coding RNA (NTAB_LNC003146)". The record is from RNAcentral. Lineage: Eukaryota; Viridiplantae; Streptophyta; Magnoliopsida; Solanales; Solanaceae.
UGAAAAGGAUCGGAUGGAUCAGAAGAGGCAAGAACGACUUUGCCGUCACGGAUAGUGAGAGAGUAAUUGGGAUCAGCCUUUGUAUAAACCCUAAAUGAAGGCUUAUCGAUGAGCUCUGGAUGUGGUGAGGUCUCAUGGUGGAAGAAUGAAGGCACAUGUGGUUGAAAACGAUGAUGAUCAUGCUGACGAUGAACGCUCUCACUCUCACUCUCGUGAGACACGUGUUCGACGGAGGAAUAACUAGGUGGUUGCGGUGGUGGCGGGCCCUCAUAAUAAGGCGGUGUACGAUUAUAAGAUCCACCAUAGUUCUCCUCCAUUCGCGGAGGCGGAUAAUUAGUCCGACCAUAACUAUCCUCCAUUGACGGAGGAGGAUAACUAGUCCGACCAUAAUCGUCCUCCAUAGGUGGCGGUGGAGGAUAAUGAGGACGGUUAUAAUUGGGAUCCAUCGGUGGUGGUCCACCUACAUGGGAAGUGUGAUAGACAUGGGUAACUUCUGACGGUGGUGGUUCGUCGUAGGCUGACGGUGGUGGUCGUCGUCCGGGAGGUGGAAAUUCCUCUCCACCGUCGUCGUCGCGACGGUGGUGGUG